Odontomachus brunneus is the source of this 6056-nucleotide RNA transcript. RefSeq lists it as uncharacterized. The transcript is spliced from 3 exons. Lineage: Eukaryota; Metazoa; Arthropoda; Insecta; Hymenoptera; Formicidae. The record is from RefSeq and is a predicted model, not a curated record.
AACAUUCGUGCGGGAAAACGCGCAAUUAGUAUGUAUAUAAAACUGGACCGCCGAAUGAGAAAAAUCAGUCGAGUACGAAUAGCAGUGCAAUUGUGAUUGUGAGAAGAGACGUUACUUAAAUCUAAUCAUGGCCCGAAAAUAUACGUUCUCCAUGAUCUUUCUGGUGCUCGUUUGUGCAAACGUAUUACAAGGGCAACCUGUAGGAACUUUAUUUCCUAACUUUGUUAGCACUCUAGCUCUCGAUAAAGUUGGUGACUUCGCUCAUAACAUGCUCAAAAAUGCGUUCAAUAUGAGGAAAACCUUUCAGGAAGGCUUUGGUAGCUAUUUAGGAACAUUUCAUAAAGAAAUGAAGGGAGGUUUUUCACAGGGACUUGAAGCCCUCAAACAUAUAGGAUCAACACUGCGUGCGGGUCCCUUGGGGCCAGAAGGUGCAUCACCAGCAGCACCAGUAGGAGUUGUUUCCACUGAUUAAAAAAUUUUCUGUAUGUUUCUUGCGUAGAUUAAAAAUAACACGUUAACAAGUUUACAUUUAACUCUAAAAUAUUAUUAAAAUUUUCUAAAAUAUUAGAUUGAUUAUGAUAUCGUAGAUCAGUUUGUAGUAGAGAAUACGACGUACACAUGUAAUUUUUAAUUAAAGAAUCGAAAUAGUAAUGUUGAAUAUAUAUAAUUGUAGGCAAUUUCUUAUAAAUCAAUUGUUAUGAUUAAUACACAAUAGUUGCGAGAUACUUGUUUGUUGUAGUGAACAACAAGAUAUUAUCGUCGUGCUAAUAUCCGUCGAGGUGUUAAUCCAUCGUUAACGUAGCGUAAAAAUUUAUAUUUCAUUAAUUACAUUAAUUAGCUGUCGAUUUGUUUACUAUUUUUGUGAAUCAUAAAAUGGAAUAAAUUCAAAGGAAACUUCCGAGUUAAAAUUUUGAUCCUACUUUCAACCUCACUAUUUCAUUCAACACCUAUUUUGAAAAAAAAUAAAGUAAAAGAAAGUAAAGAGAGAAACUUCGAACAUUAUCAGAUUCAAAGUAGGAGUAAAUAUUAUUAGAAUUAGACUUACUUUGAUAAUUUAAUUCUUACUGCGUUGUAAAAUUCAAGCUUUAAUAUACGGCCAAAAUUUCGACUCAGAUUGGUUCACUAAAACUGAAUAAUUGUUCAUUAUAAGUUAGGAAUGCCUGCAUUAUAUAAAACAUUGAAUUUGUAAACGGAAUAUCUAUGUUGUAUGUGUACGAGAUUACAAGUAAAAUGCACAUGUCUGUCAUUAAAUAUGUUGUGUUAACGUUAAAAAAAUCCACGCAUUUAAAUUUGUCCCUCGAAUUAUAAAACGCUUUAACCGUUUUAUUUAUUUAUCAUUUAGCCAAGUAACAUUUUUAUCACCAGUUCACGCAAUAUAUUAUACUGAAUUAAAUUAAAGUUUAUGCGACACGCGCGAUUAAUUUACAAGCGUAUUCGCGUGCCAGUUUAAAUAUUUCUGAUUCGUAUUCUUCACACGUUUGAAAUGAAACUCUACUUCGCAACGGUGAGUAAAAUAUGACAAGUGUGUUUCUUGGCACGCGGCCUCUAUUUAUAGCGGUUGGAAGAAGUUCAAAUGCGAAAGGGACAAACAAUCUCGGGUGCGUUCCGAGAAUGCAAACUCAAACUGAGGCAAUAUCAAACAAAGUACCAUGAUGAUAUCCUCUUGACGAAAGAGGCGUCACGGAAUAAAAAAUUUGUACGAUGUAAUGUGCAGUUUACAAAAUUUCACUGCGGGAUUAGUAGGCGGGACGUUACACAGAGUACCAUAAUUUUGACUUGUUUUUAAAACAUUACACGUUUUAAAAAUAUGAUAAACGUAAUAUAUCAGCUGUACUUCGAUAAAUUCUUAUCACAUUGUCACGCACGGAAAUGCAAAUGGUCAUAAAACAGUUAUCGAGUCAUUGUAAAUUCUAAUUGUUGCCUUAGUAUCGCGAGAUAGUCACGUGUACGUAGAAACCGCAAUAAAUCUCACUGACAGUAAUAAUAGUUGAGAAAGCAGUUAACGGUCACCAAUGCCAGCGAGUUGCGUUCUACUAUCUUAACGUCCUUGCGUGAGCAUUCGCUUCCUGAUUCGUAUUCCGCAACUACUUGCUCCACGCUGUCAACGAGUAGGCUUUCUGUUUUCACCGUGCUCGUUUUAUUACGCGAGAAUUAGCAUAAUAAAAUAUAAAGUGUAUCAUUUCCAUAAUAACGGUAAAAUGUGACGCAACAAUAGUGUAAAUAAGAUAUUGGAUGCACCUCUUUUUGUCAGUUUUAUUAUCUCGCUAAGAAUACAUUUACCGCGUAUAAAAAUGUCGAUUGAGCAAGUAUUAUUUUUCUCAACAGAACGCAACAGAACAUGAGUUUCUCCAUAUUUGUAGUAAUAACUGUGUAAUAUUUUGUUGUACUCAUACAUUAAAAAUAAUAUGCAAUCAUUUCUUAGUAAUCGAUAAGGAAUCUCGAGAUGAAGACGAGAUGAUUCCUGACAGUACGAAAACAAUUGUAGCUGUGAUGGUGCGACUAUCUAAACAAUAGCACUACAUGUUGGUUGGUACAACUGCAAUCAGUAUGCCAAGCGCAAUUUCAGUUCCAGCAACUUCUAUUAUUAGUGCCUUCUCUACGAUGCGAUCGAAUUAAUAGUUGAAGAGGAUUACGGAAUGUCUGGAAUUUCUACUUGGUAGCAUUGCGAUUUAGCAACAUCGAGAUCGUCAGCAGUAUCGAGUCUUUAAUAGCUUCUUCGACAGCGUGAUUUCCACAUCGAUCGCCCUCCAAAUUUUUUAAUUUUUUACAAUCAUACUUUUAUUACUUUUAUUAUUACUUUUAGUAUUACUUUCCUCGCCGUGAAUAUCGUGAGGGAAUUUUCCGGUAAAUCCAAAUGAGAUAAUAAUACAUCAAUGCUUCUUUCCUUUCGAUGAGCACCGCGAAUAUUGUCAUGUGGAAGGACAGCGCAGUUUAGAUAAGUCUUCCGACGUUGGCGGUCAUGAAUACAUAUGCAAUAGGAAAGCUGAUUGAAAUGUAACGGUUGCGCCACUGCUAUUACCUACGAUGUUCGCUGGACCAACGACAGUCCUGCCCACAGAUAGUCGAGUCACAAUCGUUGGAGCACGUAUCGUAGAAAUUCAAUGUAUGUCGCUUACUAUGGCAAACCGCGCGUUCCUAUCUGCACGGAUAUUUUAUGGAUACAACAUUAUACAUUGUAAAAAAAUUUGCGUACAUAGUACGUAAAUAAAUAUUCCAAAACGUUCACUCUAAAUUUUGUGUCGAAAAUAAUUUAUUCAUAUGUUCAUUCGUGUGUUAUUUAUCUUAUGUACUAGUCUAUAUAUAAUGUAAAUAACACACGAAUGAACAUAUGAAUAAGUUAUUUUCGACACAAAAUUCAGAGUGGGCUUUUUGGAACAUUUGUUUACGUACUGUGUACACAAGAUUUUUUACAGUGUAUACAUCAUUAACAGUGCUAGAUCAUAUUGUCGAUGGAGUGAACAAUCGUAGUUAACAAUCGUGAUGAAUAAUACAGAUGUUUAAUUGAUGUUUCGUAAACAAGGGCCGUCGAGAAAUGUCAACUGCGAACGAUGCGCUUAAGUCGUUUUCUAGGGAAAACAAUGCAGUCGAUGAGAAGUAGAAAUUUUGGCAGACAACCUGACUGCGAAAUCAUUCGAGGUCAAAAGGUUAAACGUAUAAAGACGAGCGUCGCUGUGUGACGGAUCGUCCAUACGAAAUCACGCGAAUAAUGCAGGCGUAUUGCUCCGAAUGCGUAGUAAAUCAAUGUAUUCCCAAUCGGACCGUAUCAUUUAGAGCAUAAUCGUAUCGAGUCCGGCGUAUCAUCGUCACUACCACAGUGCAUGCAUCCCCGUGGCCCGCGUCAGCACGUCGAGUGAUUUGAGAACAAUAUCAACGACGCAUCCGUCCCGGCCAAUGAGAACGGAUACAGAGUUGCGCGUACGCGAAUUUGCAUAACUCGGUUCGUUGCGGACGUGCGGCGCAUGGAUAGCGCUCGAUGGUUGGCGUUGUCGUGCGAUCCCACGUAGCGCAAUCGGGCAAUCCUCUUUCCUGAAAACGGGAAAAAAAACGAUUUGUAACGGAAAAUGGUAAUACUAUUACCAUACAUGCGCCGUUGAUAGGAUUACAGAACGUAAAAUUGAUAAUUUAUGCGUGAGGUUUAAUACACUUUGGCGUGUCGCGCGCAUUGGAGAGAGAGAGAGAGAGAGAGAGAGAGAGAGAGAGAGAGAGAGAGAGAGAGAGAAAGAGAGAGGACCAAUUAACAAAUAUAAAUAUCCGAACGCCAAGACAUUGUACGUAAAUAAUUUCGAAAUUACACUAUUCUAAAACAGAGAUGACUGUAAUAAAACUGUAUGAAAUAUUACGAAGGUCGAAAUUCGCGAAGCAUUUCGGUCGUGUUAUCAUUAAAAUACGAUAUUCGUUUCAAGCACACCGAAGUGACCUACAGCGUUGAUUCAGAAACAGCUCGAUGCCGCUCGAUUCAUAUUUCACGCGAGUGACACAAAAGUGCAUUACUGGACUAGUAGAUUAAACUUUUCUCAUCAAGCACGCGGCGACGGAUACUUUCGACAUAACAAGCUCCCCUUCGACCACUCGGUUGAUGAAGUACGACAAAGUUUGCCCGCUUACCGGCAACUUCAUCACGGCUACGUUUCCACGGUGACUUUUUCAAUCCUCUUUCCGCGACCCCCGUAUUGCCGGCUGCAAACUCGUCGAUUUUCUCAUAAGCUAUUCUUUCUAUUAUAGAGACUUUGCUUACGGGUAGCUUUCAUUAACAUGAAUGGAACAAAUGUCGGCAUUAAAGUACAUUUCGCUUCUCGCUGAAAUAUUGAAGCGAAAUCAAUUUGAAAAAAUCCCCCGUUUGUUCCGUUAUUACAAUGCGAUCAAUCUGAAUUGAAAUUUAUUGUGCUUGCAUUGCUAGUUCUCUGAAAUCUAUAUGCAAAAGUAUAUUGAAUAAAAUACAAAGAGUAUAUUGAAUGAGGGCUAUUGUACAAUGUAUUAUUCACGCCAUAAUAGACUUAGAUCGAUAAAAGAAUUAUCAGAUCGAUAAAAGCAGAUCAGAAACACAUUAAUUCUUCAAGGUGACCGUUUUACCUUCCAACCGGCUUCGAAAUAACUGCAGUGAAUAAUUUUCACAUAUGUCUAUCUGUUAAAUAAUUGUUUAGACAUAUAGAUUUUUCGAAAGAAAUUGUACAUGAACGAUAAGAGGGUGAUUUUAAUAUUCCUGUCUAUCAUUCUAUCACACUAAAUGAUACAAUAUUGUCGUUGGACAAUGUUACAAUUUCUUGGACAGCUAUUCUUAACUUAAUGCAUCAUAUUGACCACACCUAAUGACAGAAUAAUGAUAAUCAACAUAGACACGAACAACUUUAUGUUCGUGUAAGGUAAAUGACAUUGGCGAUCGUUAGAGUAGGAACAAAUCGCUAUAAAAGACAUUGUCAGACCAAGCGAGUCUAUUAGUUCGGACUUUUCAGCAUCGGGAGAAGACCGAAAGAGACAACAACGUCAAUUGAUCUUUCAGCUGAUCACGAAAUCUCUCAUCAAUAACUGCUGCAUAAAUUUUCAGAUGUCUCUUAAAUUUUGACAUCUCUGCAUAAUUUUCAGGAUAAUAAGGUAAUUAUUUCAAUCUAUUUACGUAAUACAACAUUAAAGCAUCGUUUAUGUCUCCAUCAUUUAGUUUUCAAGAUCCGUUAUACUGUUUUCUUCAGGUGAUAAUUUUCGUUAUAAUCGCAAUGACUAUCGCUCAUCUCGACAGAGAUGAGCGUAGAAAUUUGAGUGUGCCUGUGGCCGCAUCGUUGGCGUUUGUAACUACAGUAACAGGACCGAAAGCUGGUCCAAACAAAGCUGUGGUAGGUCCCGUUGCUGGCGCUGCAGCUGUUGCUGCAAGCGUAUCCCCGCUCGUUACUUCUCCGGUGUCCGCAACAACGGUCAUCGUCAGACAAGCAGGUGCAGUUGUCACUUCGAGGCUGUCCGUCCCGGACACUAUUGCAGCUCCUCAUGUCUAGUAACUACAAGUGUCAAAUUAUGACGUUACAAUAAUGCGGAAAUUAUUGUAUUAUAGAAUGGAAUUUGAAUAAAUU